UUACUUUGGCAGAAUAGUGCUUUAAAUUUAGAAUUUAAAUAUGUAUAGGGAAUCAAGUAAUA
This 62-nucleotide transfer RNA is filed under the name Idionychus excisus. RNAcentral's name for it is "tRNA-Leu". Lineage: Eukaryota; Metazoa; Arthropoda; Insecta; Coleoptera; Scarabaeidae. The record is from RNAcentral.